UUCUCGCUACCACCUAAGAAUGAACAAGAUUUGCUGUUAUAGAUCACAAGUAUGAGAUUUAUUUUAGAUUACAAGGAUUUCAUCUGAAAGUAUUUUUUAGAAAGGAGAACUGUGCGGCUGAAGAAACUAUUUAAUUCCUAUGCAAGUUGCCUGCAGCAUUCUGCUUCUGUGAGGAGAACCCUAUGGAAUUUAAAAGCACAGCGCCUGAAGAGCUCUUCCAGAUUAUGAAGAGAGCAAAAUAGCUCCUGUAGUGUUUUUUCCUAGCUUAUUUUGGCUGUUUCUCUCUUUCCGGUUGAAACUGCCUGAAGUGAGACUAAUCAACUAUUCCUCCGGAGAGAAAGGCAGGCUACUGGAAAUAAAAAUAAUAAAUCAUAGCAUUUUACUAUAAAAAACAAUAUACAUCGAGGGAGUGUCUUUUACAAUCUUAUAUUGCUAUCUUCAACAAUAGCAAGCUAAUAAAAUGGGAAGUUAAUUCAAGUAGGAUGUUUCUAGCAAAUUGUCAUGUGAAUACUGCUAUGUCUACAUGCACGUUUUCCACCCGGAAUUGAAAGAAAAAGUUAAAUUUUAAAGAAGGGGCUUAAAUUUUCCUGCUUGUUUCCUGUUUUCUGAAUCUUAAGCAAGAGAGAUUGUUUUUCUUAUACAGAAUCACACUGCAAGAGAUGAUGCAUUUUAUUAAUGACUGACCAUUGCUAUGGUGAAUUCAAGAUAUUAGUUAUAUUAAUUAUCAACUUAUUUAGAUGUAUACCAAAGCCUUGGUUUCAUUCAAGGGCAUGUGUUUUUCAUUCAGAUUUCUCUGAACAUGACUCAGAUGCUUGCCCUGCUGUGCCUACGCGGCAGAGAGAGGACUUCAGACUUUCAGCAAUUCCUGCCUCGUGCUCAGCUCUGCAGAAGCUACUCUCCUGCCCACUCCGUAGUGCAUCACGUGGAGAGCCCACAUGGACGGCUGAGAGCAGGGAUCCUGUAGAGAGUCAAGGACACAAUUAAAUCCCAUCAGCGAGCAUGCAUCUCUUCCCUUUCCCUUGGCACCUUGCUGCACUCAAAGACUUUCGGCAGUGCCAAACACCCUGGCAUUUCUGAGCACAAGGAGCAGCUUUGCUGCAAGGAGGUCAAUUCACUGAGGAGGAGAUGAGGAGGGAGAUCUUGAAGCUUUGCCUGGGCUCCCUCUCCUGAGCAUGGCUCCUUCAGUUGGCCCCAUUGCUGGGUCUAUGUCCUCUUCUGCUGACCUGCCAAGCCAGGUGACGAGAGGGCAUGGCAGUCCUAUCAGUCUAAGAGCAAGGGCCAAGAUUUCACCCCGAAAGUGCAAAAAGGAAACAAAUGAACAAUACUCUAAUCAGAUUCAUCAACACAGGUCAUCCCAUUACCCCCCAGAGCUUCAAAAUUUGGAAGAAUGAGUGCUUCAUGCAGUGUGUACAUCUGAUAACUGCUGGGCUUCCUCAGAACUUCUUCGUGAAGAAGAUACGGAAAAUGUAAAAUUGUGCUCCCAACGCAGCCUUCCCAAUGCAGGACUCGGAGAGGGGAGCUGCUCCGCUCCUGCGCUGCCCAUUGCCACGUCGGGGAAUGGGAAUCAGCCUUCCCAGCGCCCUGGCUUACCUGUGCCUGGAAGGGACAUUUUGAACCGUCCCAUGUGAAAACAGACUGCUAUGAGGUGUCCGCAGUGGAUUUUCUAGUCACUUAAAUGGCAGGUGAGCACCUUCCCGAAAAGGGAUGGUCCAGAUCCAGCAAAGGUCUGCGACUUGAUUCAGCAGACACUGAAUGCACUAUGGGACUCAGUGCGUUCUCACUGCCUGUAUCCCUGCAGCCUCUUUUAACCUUAAAAUCAGUCCCUUUGCAGAAUAGCAUUCUGCAAAAUGUUUACAAAGUGUCUAGUGCCCUCAAUUCCCUUUGGUUUAAAACACAUACAGUUUGUUAGCUCUCGUAUCUUUUUUCUUUCCCACUUUCUGGGUAGUGCAAAGCACAUCAGGUGAAAACUCAACCUGAAGGUAAAAGAAAUUUUGCUUUUAUCCCAUCAAUUGGUGGUCCUUUAGAAAUAAAAGUGCAGCAAGUAACUACUCUGCCAUAAAUAACUCCCUUUCUUUUUUAAAGAUUGUAUUUACCAAAAAUAAGUAAGUAUCAGAAAUACUAUGCCAUAUAAUCGGCACUAAAAAUGUAUCUAAUUGUUUGCAUCAGAAGAAAGAACUUUGUAUUGUUGACUACAAAGAGGUUACAGGAGACUCUUGGAUUUCUUGUCUAUGUACAAGCUUUAGAAAUAACAUUUUGCUGAGCUAAGUGCCUUUUAUAUUUGUUGUUUACAAUAGUAGCUGCCUUGUGUUUUAACUAAGACCUUUUCAUCUAUUGGGUCAAGGAUAUCGGCUGACCAUGGAAACUAAAAUAAUUCUUGACAGGCCCUGCACUUAUUUUAUUUCUCUAGAUCACAGCCUUAGCCUUUGGCUCCUAGUCAAUAUUUUGAAGAAUUGCUAAGAGAUCAGCAUGCCCUUUAGUUUUUUGUUUUUGCUAAAGAAAAAUAAAUAAUCCCAUCUCUUCCCUAAACCAUAAGGAUAUAUGUUUUACUCUCUUUUUAUCCAUCCAUCUAUCUCCUCCAACAUACACUGUGUGCUGCUCAGUCUAACAAAAUGUAACCACUGUAUUAAAAACACAAUCCUCAGAAUUCUCACAGGCAUGAAAGUCUCGAAUGAUUUUUCCUGUAGACUAUAACAGUGAGGUAAAAGGGAAAACAAUAGCUUGGGUUACUCUCUAUUUUUAAUAUUGUGGUUUUACUGAGAAAUUUUAUGGUGCUGUCACAAUGAGACAGAGACAUAUAUGUCAUAAUAAUACUGUCAUAAUAGGUGCAUGUACCAAAUGUAACUUCUGAGAACGGCUGAGUAAUUUCCGCUACACAAAGUGAGGAUUCUCCUGUUGCAGCAACCUUGGCAUUACUUGAAUGUGUCUAAUUUUGAUGUGCAUCUUAGCUGGACCAAAGCAAAAGGGACAACAAAAAACAGUGAAAAUAAUCAGAGGUCAAUAAGAAUCACCUAAAAAGAACACUUGAAAUAAUUUUUUUUCCGUAAUUUGGCAUAAAGACUGAGUAGAGAGAGGAUAACAGUCUUCAAAUACUUAAGAGAGAGUAGCAAAGAUGAGGGAGAUAAUUUGUAUCAUUUAUGCACCCAUAUUAGAGCUACCUGCCAAAAAUGACAUUUAACCACAGAAUGUGACAGUCACAUUGAGAUUACUAAGCUGGGCUUAUUUCACUCAGUGCUUCAUUAAAACAGUACUGGUAUCAUAGACCUUCUCACUUCUGGAACUCAGGAGAUAGCGAGAAGAAAAGCUGUUUUUCCACAAUCAUAUAGACCACGACUGUUUAAUGUAGCUGAUUAACAUCGUGUUUAUGGAUCACAGCUUUCGCUGUUUGUUAGUAUAAGGCUACAACUCUAGAAGUUACUGCUAGAUAAACGGCUUAUGCUUUUAACCCACUUUUUUCUCACCAGGUGCAUGUCUCCAGCAGACUAUAAAUAUAAUGCACCUGAAACCUGAAUAGAAAUAUUUACCUCUUCUCUUGGAACGGCUCAGGAGCACCAUGCCACUGAGCCUAUACCUUUUCCCCAGUUUAUGGGAGUCCAAACUGCUGGAGGAAGCUCUCCCGCUGCUCGCAGCCCCACCCCUGCCACUUGGCAGGACCCGGUCAGUGUCCCAGUGUGCCCGCGAGCGCUGGCAGAGACCCUGCGCGGGGCAGGCGACCAAAACACGGCUGGCUAUCUCGGAUGUGGCUGCUUGUAUUCCCAGGAGUGAUCUUCAGAUGAGCAGGUUGUUUAUCAAUAAACAUCCAUCUGCAGAUUUUUACAAGGUCUUAAGACACUUAAGGUACCUCUUGGCACUGUAUCAGUUUUAAAGGCACAUAAUUAUCUAAUUACAUUACAGAAUAACACCAUUCCAAUUAUUCUCCCUUAGUCUGUGGCAGACUUAGUGCUCUGCAGUACUUAUGACAAUGUCUUAUGCAGUAGUUAAUGUCAUCCUUUGGUGGACAGCAGAUGCUUUACUUUCUUGUGAAAGGUGAAACACAGAGAAACCAAGGAAAAAUAGGAAAAUUUCUGAGAAGGAAGGCAAUAACUUUUGUGGAGGUGGAACUAUUCUGUUGAAUCUAGUUUUCUCAGGCAGAACUGAAGUAGAUAAAACACAUGUUGGCAUCUUAAAGCUUAGUUUUUCUUUCUUCCCUUUUCUUUAUCAUAAAAUGAAGAAAAGUAUUUCCUCUCCAGUCUUUGAUCUAUUCCUCAGACAGCAGAUCAGCAAAGCUAUGUCAAAAAAAGAAUAAUGUUUCCAAAGCAAUAGAAAUUCUUGAAGAACUACCUAUAUGUCUGCUUGAUAAAUUAUUUCUUAAUUUCUAUAUUCAUACAAAGCACAUGCAUUUUCAUGCACCAUUGAACAGAGAAAUACUGUGAAUUUCCAUAAAAAAGCUGCUAUUAGGUUUUUUCUUUUGAUGAAGAAGGAAUUUGCUAUGAUUUUUUCAAAUCAUCGUCAAAAACUCAGCUAUCCUCUCUGCACCCUAUUGAGUAUAAGCACCAUUUUUAAAAAAUGUUAUUAAUUGAAGAUAUUUACAAAUUUUACUUAAAAUAAAUUCAAUUAUCUGAUUUAGACUGUGUUUUCAAACUAACGUGACAGGAUCCUCAUAUUACGGCAGUGUAAACCUCAAGUAAAGCCAUUUUUAGAAAUGGAUUAAUACCAGUUUUUCAUGAAAAUGUGAGGUUUAGUGAGAUCCAGGUGAAGAGGAGACGCUUAGGAAGAUCCCAACAAAGCUAAGCAGGGUAACGGGCAGCUAACAUACAUUAACGAAUAGCCAGAGGACAACCAGGACGUAAGUUUAAAUCCCUGGCAGAGGGUGAUCAAUACCCCAUUGCUCUCAGGAAAGCGGGGAACGACAGCCAGUGUGGAGUGCAGAGCUCUCAGGGCUUCUGUAAGGAAGAAACUAAAUAUCCUGGUCUGAAGAGCCCCUAGGCUUUUGUGAAAGAACUCAAUAGGUCAGGAAAUGUGUAAAUUAGGUGAUAGCUAAAUGGGAUGGAGCAGACUUGCUCAUUAUGAAAUUUCAUAUUUAAUUGAAUUCCCAAGUUACGGGGAGAUGAUGGCGUACAAAUCUGUGACUAGAAUUAAAUAAGAUUCUGGCCAAUGCUAAAGAACAAUGAGUAACACUGCGAGCAUCCGGCUAGAAACAGGAGAAGGCUGAGCCAAAUCACAGCUGUCCUCUCCUGGCAAACGCCAAGUGGAGUUACCUGUGCAGUAGGAGAGAAGGCUUGUUUUAUGCCCUGGGAACUAAACUAAAUAUCAACCAGAAGGCACUAAGAAGCAAGAAAAGUGAGGCUGUUAAUGUCUAGUACAUUGAGAUGCUGACUCUUUUUCCAAAUCUCCUAACUUAUGAGCAGAGACUGGGAGGGUCUCAGCAGCGUUGCAAAGACUCGUAGCACAGUGAGGAGGUCCCCUACAGAACGUGGAUUAUAGAAGAAACACACUAUUUCCUUGUCCCAUGAGAUUUCAAUAGUUUGAAGAGAAAUUGCAUUCCAGACAGUGAUCUCACAUUUUCACACUUCCCCCCACCUUUUUUUUUUUGUCAGAUCAGUCAAAUUAAUUGGUUUGAACUUUUUUCAUAUAAGUUCAUUACAAUUUUGAAAAACUGCAUCAUGAGAAAAAGCACAGUCUUCAGUUAACAGUGUCAACAUGCGAUUGCGCUGACUGUUUUUUCUUCUUAAUUCGAUAUAUUGAAUCAAAUUCUGCUUAGUAAACAAUUUUUGUUUUGGCAAACCAGCAUUUUUUCCAGUGGGAAAAUAUUUGUCAAGGAACUCCCCACCAUCUCAGAUAUUUUCCCAGAAGUGGUAGCUUAAUAAAGUUGUAGCGUAUUUAAAACUAUGUUCUUGUAUCUUUUAGGUCUUCCUGGAGUAUCAAGGGAAAAUCAGUCACCAUUUGUACUCAGUAAACUAGGAGAUGAUACUGCAGGAAUCGAUGUAACCCAUGUAUGUAUGUGUGUAUAUAUUGGGAAAAGUAGCAAGUAAAACUAACGCCUCAUGGGAAUUUAUUUUAAGCAGCCAGUGGGUGAGAUUCUACUUGUGUGCAUAUGUAAAUGACAUAGCCAAAGGAAAGGGAAAAUUGCAAACUUAGAAAGUACAGAUUAAUAUACAAGAAAUAAGGCCAACAUAAUCAAGUUAUACUCAGCUAUUCUAGUUCCUCAGUAAUUUACAUAGAGGCCGUUUCUGAUUGGAUGCAGAUAAUUUCUGGCUCUCCACUCUUUCAAGAAAAAUCAAUUUGGAGACAUUACAGACUAAACCAAUAUUUUCCCGUUACAGCUGCAGCAUUUCUUGCACGUACAAAGCUCCAUCACUCAUAUGGGAAAGCUGGUGUUUCCCAAGGUGGCAGAGGGUGUCAUUGGCACUGUGAGCAUGCAGAAAGUAUCAGGAAUAAUAUUGUGUCAGUACUGAGCUAAUACUACUAAUGGCAGCAUUUUUAAAGACUUCUUGGACAACUCACAAUUACCAUUUCUUCAGGCUUCCUAAAUUAUCAAGCAUUAUCAAAAUAGACAAGGUCAUUGUUUUAUCUGCAAUAAAGUCAAAGGAACUGCCAGAGAUAUUGCAAUAGUAUUACACACAUAAUUACUACCAUGGUAAUUUAUUCAAUAAAGCUCUCAUUUAAUUACAGGAACCUAUUACACUGAAUGAUGUGUUGAGCAUGAUUUAUAUCUCAGAUGUAAAUAUUCAAAAAUAAGCCUCCUAUAAUGAAAGCAACUCCUAGCUGUUCUCCAUUUGCAUUAGGCUUCAGAUUGCUGAUACAACAGAAAGGAACCACCGGUGGGUCACAUAACUACUGAAUAUUCGAUGCGGCGGGUGAUUUAUAGACAUAAAAAAAGAUGGCUCAAACAGUGCAGUCUAAAAUAGCACUACAUACCUCUACUAAUUGUCCUGGGUUCACAACUGGCAUAAGUAUUUCAUAUCAGCAUAAGAGAAGUUAACACUCAGGGCUGUAAUCAUUUUGGCAACACUUAUUCUAGCCUGUCAGAAAUAUGAUUAAUAAGAGGCAAUAUCAAAUACCUGAUACCUGGCAUGGAGAUAUAGGAGGUCCUUGAACCCUCAAGGAAAUUCUGGUUUCAACCAGGAAAUAGGACAAAGCUGGCUGGCAUUUUGCAGGUGAGACUUCAGAAAGACCAAAGGCGCAAAGGACCGGUUGAAUAUUCUGGCCAAACUUCUCUUUUUGUCACCCAGCCAAAGCUAGGGGUCAACUCUUUGCUCCAGCUAGCAUUUAAUUAGAGAAACAGCAGCCAUUUUAUGUUGCUAAAGCUUCUUUACUCUUUAGGCCCAGGGCCUUCAGCCACCAGUUCCCGACAUAAGCCAAUGGUGAAUCUGGCCGAUUGCAUAUCACCUGUGUUUUGCUCUUCUUGUGUGUUACGUUUGCCAAGAAACACUCAGAAGUUUGAAAUGGUAGAGAUUUGUCUGUAAAUUAGUAAGUCUGCCCUCUUUUUUGCAUGCACUGAGAAACUGUGCAUCUGAAAUAAUAAAAAGUGAGUCUAUACUGAUUUACACUAACUUAGA
Long non-coding RNA from Struthio camelus australis, 7535 nucleotides. RefSeq lists it as uncharacterized. Lineage: Eukaryota; Metazoa; Chordata; Aves; Struthioniformes; Struthionidae. The record is from RefSeq and is a predicted model, not a curated record.